Long non-coding RNA from Dermacentor andersoni, 506 nucleotides. RefSeq lists it as uncharacterized. NCBI's taxonomy places the organism in Eukaryota, Metazoa, Arthropoda, Arachnida, Ixodida, Ixodidae. The record is from RefSeq and is a predicted model, not a curated record.
UUAUGUGGGAAUGAUGGGUAUAUAUAGUGCGUGGAUGCGCAGACCACGCUGACGCGGAGCCUCCACGAGACUGGUGCGUGGCCGACUUGCUGCUGGGCCGUCGUCUGCGGGGCGUGGUGCGGGGCGCGCUGACGAGCCGGCCGCCCCGGCUGCCGCCCGCGGUGCUUCCCCACCUGCAGCUGGUGACGGACCCGGAGUCCCAGUCGCGCGCGUCGACGCCAGCGCGCAGCCUGGCCAGGUCGGCCUCGUGGGAGACCAUCUUUCUCUACUCGCAGUACGCCCGGCCCUUGGACGUGCUCAGCGAAAAUUGGGAACGGCAUCAACGUAGGAAAGUCCUCCGCCGCCUCUUCUGCUGCUGUCCGCAAACCUGAGUAGAACAUGCGGCGUCGCAAGUCACCUUGUAUCCGCUUCAAAACGGCACCGAGGAAGUCAUCUUCGCGUUUGAAAAUUCGGUCUUCGGUCAAAAUAGUUAUUCGAACGCAACAUUAAAGAAGUUUUUAUUUUGC